GGCCAGUUAGCUCAGUCGGUUGAGCGUGGCGCUAACAACGCUAAUGUUGUGGGUUCAAUUCCUGUUUGAUCC
RNAcentral lists this transfer RNA (72 nucleotides) under Apaloderma vittatum (bar-tailed trogon). It matches the Rfam family "tRNA". Rfam says of the family: Transfer RNA (tRNA) molecules are approximately 80 nucleotides in length. Their secondary structure includes four short double-helical elements and three loops (D, anti-codon, and T loops). The record is from Rfam by way of RNAcentral. Lineage: Eukaryota; Metazoa; Chordata; Aves; Trogoniformes; Trogonidae.